Molecule: ribosomal RNA, 492 nt
Filed under: uncultured bacterium
Lineage: Bacteria
Description: partial 16S ribosomal RNA
Rfam family: Bacterial small subunit ribosomal RNA
Source: RNAcentral
GAUGAACGCUAGCUAUAGGCUUAACACAUGCAAGUCGAGGGGAAACGGCAUUAUGUGCUUGCACAUUUUGGACGUCGACCGGCGCACGGGUGAGUAUCGCGUAUCCAACCUGCCCUUUACUUGGGGAUACCCCGUUGAAAGACGGCCUAAUACCCGAUGUAAUUCAUUGAUGGCAUCAGAUAUGAAUAAAAGAUUUAUCGGUAAAGGAUGGGGAUGCGUCUGAUUAGCUUGUUGGUGAGGUAACGGCUCACCAAGGCGACGAUCAGUAGGGGUUCUGAGAGGAAGGUCCCCCACAUUGGAACUGAGACACAGACCAAACUCGUACGGGGGGCAGCAGUGAGGAAUAUUAGGCAAUGGGCGCAAGCCUGAACCAGCCAAGUAGCGUACAGGAAGACGGCCCUAUGGAUUGUAAACUGCUUUUAUACGAGAAUAAUUUGAUGCACGUGUGCGUUAUUGCAUGUAUCGUAUGAAUAAGGACCGGCUAAUUCCGUG